Long non-coding RNA from Passer montanus (Eurasian tree sparrow), 3707 nucleotides. RefSeq lists it as uncharacterized. Lineage: Eukaryota; Metazoa; Chordata; Aves; Passeriformes; Passeridae. The record is from RefSeq and is a predicted model, not a curated record. The transcript has 2 exons.
ACCGUGUUGGGCACCGCUCUUCAUUAAGUGAUCGCUGCUAUCAAACACGCUCUGGAUGUCUUGAAGGGGGGGGGAGGGCGGGGAGAGGCGGAGGGAAGAGGGGGAAAUCCCUUUUAGUUUUGCGAUUAGGCUGCCAGGCUUUGUAAAGGGCUUAAAAACAAAGUCAUGCUCAGUCUUUUGUAGGAGAGAUCCAGAUGUUAUGUAGAUUUCUGUUUGCAUGUUCGUUUCGAGCGGCUCCGGCGGUGAGCGCAGCGUUUACGUGUGUGUGUUGCCGGACUUUGCCGUUUGUCGACGUUGCGCUUGUGGAAUGUAUGCUGGAGUAUUAGCUCGGUAAUGCCUUCUAAUGGUAGUGCUAAUUACAGUGGGGUUAUUUAGCAAAUUAAGAGAGAUGAUGCCCCCCCCCCCCCAUCCUUGAGUACCAAAUGAACUUUUCCGAGCACACAGGCACACACACACACACACACGCGCGCGUUAAUUUUGGUGAGUUUCCCUCGCCCAAUCACUUCGCUGAAGCUACACCAUGCCUUACCUCAGAGCAGUCAAUUACCAAAGCUACCCGGGAUCAUCAAUCAUGGGGGAUGCUUGAAGUUUAGGGGAGGAGCGAUGGUCAAACUAUCGAUUGCUGCAGUUUUGUCCUCCCCAACCCCCCACCCUCGUUCACGGUCCCCUGCACAUAAAAUCUAAAACAGACUAUCCCGUUAAUAGUGGAAUUUAUCAAUGAUUAUGUACCCGUUUGUGAAUGUGGCCUCAUACAUAGAUGGCUUUUGAAAAUACACGGCAGAAAAUAUAUUAUUCCGUUAGAUUUUGGUUUGCUUUUCUUUUCGGGGUGAUGACGAUGCUUUUCAGAGGUUUGGGGUUUUUUUUUUAACUUUAAGAAAAUGACUCAAGGGUUAGUUAUAGAUAUUUGGCCUGAUUUUAAUAGGCAAAGGGAAUGAGCUCCAGAGGUCAAUAAACCCCUCCAAAAUGAUGAAUGAUUGAGUACCUGUGAUGAUGAUAGUGAUUACCGGAGCAAUUAAACAGUUUGAUUAAAUGAGCCAUCAUAACAAUGAUGUCUGCGGGAAAUCAGCCCUCACGUAUAAAGAAAGAUAGUGUGGAGAGCUGACAAACGCCAGUGGGCAUUCCUGCAUGUUCCGCUAGCGCCGAGCCCUGCAGAGCAGGGCUGUAUUUACAAAUAUGAGGGGAAUACGGAGAAAAGUCCCUCUUCUACUUAUAGCCAGAGUUGCACCCUGCUUAAAACCCGCCAGAAGCCGGAGAGCAGACACGGGUUGUUUUUUUUUUCCUAGAGGAUCUCCUCCAAGAUUAAAGCUAGUCCUAAGAGCAACCGAAUUGCUGUGACUGACUUUCACGGGACUGUAAAGAGAGAUCGGCUCAAAAGUCCAAAGAGAAAUGAGGUGUCCGGUAUGGAAGUGCAUCUCAGUCAACCGCCAGCUCCUUUUGCCGAGGCUGGAAAUGGUUUUAACAGGCGGUAAAAUUUCAUCUUGUGGUGUCAAAUUGGGGUCAGUUUGGGGUUAGCGCUCUCAGUGUCCGAGCAGGAGCUGUCCAGCUGUGUGGGGAUUCAUUAAGGGCAAAAGAUCCGUUUCAAGAAAAACAAUACAAAGACAAUCAGAGGGCUAAAGAUCCUCUUCAAAUCGCAUUUUACAAGUGCACCAGAACAAAUAUGGAUGCUGAAACCUAUUCCCUUCAAACUCCCAAAUCGGCUUCUUAGCCCUCGGAGGGAGCGAGAGAGAAAAUCCUCUAAAAGUUAAGAAGAGUCUGUUUUCAAUCAGCCUUUCCGAAGUGUGGCAUCUUAGUCCUUUGCUGGCUUUGAGACAUGCCUCUCUUGCUUACUCGUUGCAUCUCUCCCUCCCUCUCUCUCUUUUUCCACAGCCUUGCAAAAGCGGAUGGCACAACAGGUAAUAUUUCAGAUUUCAAGAAUAAAUCCCAGCGGAGACCUUAAACCGCUGUUUUGCACGCGCGUGUGCUCCUAUCACAAGAUUUAAUGCAAAUAGAAAGUUUUUAGCGGGAAACAAGCCAUGCUUGCACGAAAUCCUAUUGUACCCUCUAGGAAAUUUUGAGCUCUCCUUGUAGGUGAUCCUCCGGUCUGAUGGGUAAUUUAGGCUAGAUUUACUUCCUGGUUCUUAGCACUUGUGGAAAGCACCUAUUGCUAAUCUGGUUUAUUAAAUUCUCAUGGUUUAAAUCCUCUUAACGUCCCUACAUCUGUUAGGACAAUUGACGCCUUGCUACAGGGACAAAUAACUUGAACCUUAAUCUUGUUUGUAACUUUAUUCAAUGUUUGUUUGUUUGUGUGCUGAGUUCAAGUAUUUUGGAGGAUGCCAUUGUCUUCGGUAACACGUAGACUGCAUUUGAAAGCAAAACUCCUCUUAGACGGGUCAAGGAUAUCAUGGAACACAGUGAAAAAUUUAGCAUAUUCGAACUGGCUUUUUGUCUCGAACUAUCAUACUAGACAAUGUGUCGUAAUUAAUGAAGAAAGCAAUCUUCUUCUUAAAAUAAGGACGCGGGACAUCAUCGUGACACCGUGGUGAAAUUCACGUGAAUUUUACUUUUUGUUUUGCUUGCAAGGCGAAGUGUGGAGUUUAAGUAGUACCUUUUUUCUUUUUAUAAUCAAGAUUGUGCCUCAGUUAAAUUCCGACCCCCAAACCCGCUCGUUACCACACUCUCCUUUGCCCUUACGGUUGCUUUUUACAACUUCAGUCACUUUUUAUUCGUCUCAGCACUCUUUGAUUCGCCUCCGACUUCCCGCAGCUGCAAGACUUUCGAGGUCCCAUCUCGGGUGCCCCUGUGAAAUCAUGCACGUUUUAGCUUCUGCAGAUCACUGGGUUCAUUUAGCUCCUCACCCUGAUCCCCCCGUCUGCCAGUGGUGUACUUCGCUUUUCAGUAAUGUAUUAUUAUUUGUCGAAAAUCUUUCUAGUCCUGAAAGUCAAUGGUAGCCCAUCACGGUGAACUUUUCUUGACCUCGACUGCGGUAUGACUGAGAUCUUUGGGAGCUGGAUUAGGAGGAGGUCCAUUUACUUACCUGUUACUUCGCUUUUUACUCGUUCUUCCACCCCUCCGCCCUCUUUUUUUUUUUUUUUUUUUUUUUUUUUUUUGAGGGAAAAGCCCCAAGCCCGCACGAAAGAAGAGCGCUCGGGGUUGGUCCUGCCCUGCGGAGCCGCUGUGCCCCGGCGGGCGGGCCGCGGCGCUGCCCCGGCGGGCGCUCCAUCCAUCAGCAGCCCUCUAGCGCUAUCUGGCGGGGCUCCAGCACAGCCCGCAGCCGCCGCGGGGCCGGCAGCGCGGCUCGCUCCCCGCCGCACAGCCCUCGGGCCCGGCUCGGCGGCUCCCGCGGGACGCUGAUGGGGCAACCCCAGUGCCGGGUUCCAUCCCUGAGGGGCGAAACCCGCCGUGGGAAGGGGCAUAGAGAUGAACCCCUUCGCGUUUGUCCGGCUUGUGUCACGCGAGUGGGUGUGAAGCACUACAGUCAAAGGGAUGAGACUCUUUUUUUUUAAAAUUAUGUUACUUAGGCUGGAAUGUUUGUAAAAGUGGAAUGUUUGUAAAACUGGAGACCAUAUGCAGUCGACGUGUAUCUCCAUCACACACCAGAGGGGGAAAAAAAAAGAAAAAAGAAGAAAAUAAUCACCAACCUGUCAGGGUUUCCCACUAAUACUGUUUGCACUGGAUAGUCAAAAAUCUAGUUUGCAAUUGUUCGAAGAAUCCCAAAGUAUGAAAAAAAA